RNAcentral lists this ribosomal RNA (79 nucleotides) under Danio rerio (zebrafish). Lineage: Eukaryota; Metazoa; Chordata; Actinopteri; Cypriniformes; Danionidae. The record is from RNAcentral.
GCCGGCAGCUAGCUCUCAGGCUGCGCCCGGUCAGUACCUGGAUGGGAGACCACAUGGGAAAGCUAGGUUGCUGCCCGAA